Stegodyphus dumicola is the source of this 1246-nucleotide long non-coding RNA. The record is from RefSeq and is a predicted model, not a curated record. NCBI's taxonomy places the organism in Eukaryota, Metazoa, Arthropoda, Arachnida, Araneae, Eresidae.
CUGCGACGAAAGUGAGAACGCACGUGUCGUGGUCUAUAGGGCUCGAAGUAAUAUAAACUAUGGAUGGCUAUGUAUAAAUAAAUUAUCGCAGUAAAUAAUGUGUACAGUAAAUUCGAAUGAAUGUGAGCGACUGGAUUUUGUAAUUAAGGUUUAAAAUCGGAAACUGGGGGUAAUCAUUAAGUUUAAAAGCAGUGCUUCUGUUGCUCUUCUACUAAUUUGAAUUGAAGGUCAAGGUAUAGAAGCAACAGACAAGUGUGAAAGCAUUUUAGACGAAAGGAAAGCGUUAUUAGAUGAUGACAGUACUGAAAAUUGAACUAAACUCACCUGCUCAGAUGAAGAGAGUGUAUCACUAUAUGAAGGUACAGAUCACAAAGAAGAAGCUAUCGAAUAUCAUUUUUUCUCUGUUAUCGAAGACCCUGGGAUACAAUAUACUGUUAAAGCAGUCGGUUUGUUAAAGCGUUACAGCUUCUUAGCAUCUGAAAAUCUGCUCUUCUUAGAAUCUUCUUAGCGUUUUGAAGUUUUCGAUUGAUAUUAGCUUUCAUUUCAGAUGCUAAGAAGAAAGCUGAAAUGAAAGAUAAUAUCAAUGAAAAACUUCAAAUGCCCCCUUUUUUUUCCCAUUAAUUUUGGAUACAAUCCAAGAUGCCUCUAAAGUUGAUCAAUAGAGUUAAAUUUGGAGACAUGUAAAAACAGUGAAUGACGAAACAGGAAAAUCUGUUGAAUUAAAAAUUGUGAAACAUAUAUAUAUAUAUCUUUCUAGAAAAUAAAAUGUCAGUCGUCAAAGGGGCUUGAAGUAAAAUUCAUGAAAUCGCUUCAAGAGAAAUUUUUGAAUUUAACAAAAUUUCGUCGGCAAGUAUAUGAUGGUGCAGCAGUGAUGAGUGCUAUGAAGAAUAUUCUUGAUAUUUACCAAGUAAUUCAACCCGAAUUUCUUAUGAAAACAAAUGUAAAAGAUAUUCAAGACAAAGUAGUUCAUUUUGUGCUAAAAUUUCUGUAAAAUUCGUCAUCAACGUUUCCAUCUCAGUUGUCUUUAGUUAAAGGAGGCAUUUAAAGAGAAUCAUGAAAAAAUUAAUAGCUUCAAAGUAUUAGCAAAACUGUUGAUAAUAAAUCAUUCAUUUUCAAGCAUGCACAGCAUGCCUCAUGUACUUGACGAUUCCUGUGACUACAGUUAAGGCUGAAUGAUCUUUUUUCAAAACUGAAAUUUUAAAAAAAAAAAAAAAGAAAAAGAAAAGGAAAAAAAAAAAAAAAAAAA